This 335-nucleotide long non-coding RNA is filed under the name Brassica rapa (field mustard). Its description in RNAcentral is "long non-coding RNA (BRAP_LNC006152)". Lineage: Eukaryota; Viridiplantae; Streptophyta; Magnoliopsida; Brassicales; Brassicaceae. The record is from RNAcentral.
UUUUAUUGGCCUUCCACCUCGUGACAUGUUGAGGUUUGCCGUAGCAUCACUCAUAUAUCCUCUCUCAUCAUCUUGCUCAUUACAAGCAAUUUGAGUAACAGAAGGACUGCCAUGUGCAGGAGAGUAUAGAGGGACCAAAGAAUUGUCCGGUGAAACCAAGUUGGCCUCGAGGACAAUAACAGGGGAUGGAAUUUCUUCCAUAAUAUCAGCUACAGUUGGAGCAGAUUGUGCGUCUGCUAAUGGUGAUGAAGUCAAAAAAUAGUUGGAGCCAGUGGCUAAAUGUACCUUAGAGCAAGUGAGAUUGUUUACCGGAGUGGAAAAUUCCUUCAGCUCAU